This is a non-coding RNA of Schistosoma margrebowiei, 45 nucleotides long. The record is from Rfam. NCBI's taxonomy places the organism in Eukaryota, Metazoa, Platyhelminthes, Trematoda, Strigeidida, Schistosomatidae.
AUCCAGCUGACGAGUUCCAGUUAGGACGAAACAUGCGUCCUAGAU